AGAGCGAACGCUGGCGGCAGGCCUAACACAUGCAAGUCGAGCGCUCCGCAAGGGGAGCGGCAGACGGGAGAGUAACACGUGGGAACGUACCCUUCAGUUCGGAAUAACCCAGGGAAACUUGGGCUAAUACCGAAUACGUCCGUAAGGAGAAAGAUUUAUCGCUGAAGGAUCGGCCCGCGUCUGAUUAGCUUGUUGGUGAGGUGACGGCUCACCAAGGCGACGAUCAGUAGCUGGUCUGAGAGGAUGAUCAGCCUCACUGGGACUGAGACACGGCCCAGACUCCUACGGGAGGCAGCAGUGGGAAUAUUGGACAAUGGGCGCAAGCCUGAUCCAGCCAUGCCGCGUGGGUGAUGAAGGCCCUAGGGUUGUAAAGCCCUUUCGGCGGGAAGAUAAUGACGGUACCGCAGAAGAAGCCCGGCUAACUUCGCGCCAGCAGCCGC
RNAcentral lists this ribosomal RNA (440 nucleotides) under uncultured bacterium. RNAcentral describes it as "SSU rRNA". It matches the Rfam family "Bacterial small subunit ribosomal RNA", at positions 26 to 518 of the family's 1533-position model. The record is from RNAcentral.